Sphaerodactylus townsendi is the source of this 892-nucleotide long non-coding RNA. RefSeq lists it as uncharacterized. The transcript is spliced from 4 exons. The record is from RefSeq and is a predicted model, not a curated record. NCBI's taxonomy places the organism in Eukaryota, Metazoa, Chordata, Lepidosauria, Squamata, Sphaerodactylidae.
GGAAUCUGGGACGGCUUUUGCCGGCAGCCGCGCGGAGCCGCCGGUCAUCGCAGCGCCCCUGUAAUUUGACACGCCGCUCCGGAGAGUCGCCGCCGCCGCCGCCGCCGCCGCCGCCGCACUCGGGCUCCCGCGGCCGCUUCUCGGGAGGAGGGAGGGAGGGAGGGACGGACGGAGAGGGGGGGGGGCGCGCGCUGGCUCUUCAUCCCUCCUCCUCCUCUUCCUCCUCCUCCUCCUCCUCCUGCGAGCAGCGCCUUUUGUGAACCCCGAAGCCGCGACGGCGCGUCGCCCCUUGCGACAGGCCGCCCGGACCGGCACCUGCAGACCCGCGGCUGCCCGGCCAGGAGGCGGAGGAGGAGGCGGAGGAGAGAGCCGCGGCGGCGGCGACCUGCCCGGGGCCGGAGAUCGAGCCUCGCUCGCCGCGUGCGCGCAGCCAGGCGGGCGUCUGUGGAGCGGGGGACACCCGGCUCGCUGCCGCCGCCGCCGCCGCUUCCUUCCCCGCGGAUCCGGGCUCCCUCCUCGGCCGGCCGGCCGGUCCUCCAGCCGCGCUCGCCCGCCCGCCCCAGCCGGAGGAGAGGCCUUUCAGGUUGUGGAUGUGAACGGCUCUCCCAGUUCUCUUCCUCCUUCUUCCCCACACAUCGAGAGCUCUCGUAAGCUAAUCACCAUUGGCCUCUUCGGAGAGUUUAAAGAAAGAGCCUAAGAAAUUGACUGCAAAAGAUCUGUUGGCUACCAAGCUGUACGUCUUGCCAGCAUUAUCGAGUGUGGGAAUCAAAUCAGACCAGUAAUUCUCCUUCCUAAAUGCUGAAUGAGCUAAAGGACAACACAUUUUGUUAUGUGAAGCUACAAAGGGCCUAGUCACCAACUCCUGUGGGGUAGGAGAGCGUGGAACACAUAG